GCCGAGGUGGCGAAAUUGGUAGACGCACCUGCCUUAGGAGCAGGCCCCGCAAGGGAUGGAGGUUCGAGUCCUCUCCUCGGCA
RNAcentral lists this transfer RNA (82 nucleotides) under Parcubacteria bacterium C7867-001. Its description in RNAcentral is "tRNA-Leu". It matches the Rfam family "tRNA". Rfam says of the family: Transfer RNA (tRNA) molecules are approximately 80 nucleotides in length. Lineage: Bacteria; Candidatus Parcubacteria. The record is from RNAcentral.